RNAcentral lists this ribosomal RNA (253 nucleotides) under uncultured bacterium. Its description in RNAcentral is "partial 16S ribosomal RNA". It matches the Rfam family "Bacterial small subunit ribosomal RNA", at positions 524 to 776 of the family's 1533-position model. The record is from RNAcentral.
UACAGAGGUCUCAAGCGUUGUUCGGAUUCAUUGGGCGUAAAGGGUGCGUAGGCGGCGGGGUAAGUCAGGUGUGAAAUCUCGGGGCUCAACUCCGAAACUGCAUUUGAUACUGCCUUGCUAGAGUACUGGAGAGGAGAUUGGAAUUUACGGUGUAGCAGUGAAAUGCGUAGAUAUCGUAAGGAAGACCAGUGGCGAAGGCGAAUCUCUGGACAGUUACUGACGCUGAGGCACGAAGGCCAGGGGAGCAAACGGG